GACGAACGCUGGCGGCGUGCUUAACACAUGCAAGUCGAGCGGUAAGGCCCUUUCGGGGGUACACGAGCGGCGAACGGGUGAGUAACACGUGGGUGACCUGCCCUUAGCUCUGGGAUAAGCCUGGGAAACUGGGUCUAAUACCGGAUAUGACUCCAUGACGCAUGUUGUGGGGUGGAAAGCCUUGUGCGGCUAGGGAUGGGCCUGCGGCCUAUCAGCUUGUUGGUGGGGUGAUGGCCUACCAAGGCGACGACGGGUAGCCGGCCUGAGAGGGCGACCGGCCACACUGGGACUGAGACACGGCCCAGACUCCUACGGGAGGCAGCAGGUGGGGAAUCUUGCGCAAUGGGCGAAAGCCUGACGCAGCGACGCCGC
RNAcentral lists this ribosomal RNA (372 nucleotides) under uncultured bacterium. RNAcentral's name for it is "bacterial SSU rRNA". It matches the Rfam family "Bacterial small subunit ribosomal RNA", at positions 28 to 400 of the family's 1533-position model. The record is from RNAcentral.